Molecule: ribosomal RNA, 422 nt
Filed under: uncultured bacterium
Lineage: Bacteria
Description: bacterial SSU rRNA
Rfam family: Bacterial small subunit ribosomal RNA
Source: RNAcentral
UAAGGAAUAUUGGUCAAUGGACGCAAGUCUGAACCAGCCAUGCCGCGUGGAGGAUGAAGGCCCUCUGGGUUGUAAACUUCUUUUAUAUGGGACGAAAAAGGGUCUUUCUAGAUCAACUGACGGUACCAUGUGAAUAAGCACCGGCUAACUCCGUGCCAGCAGCCGCGGUAAUACGGAGGGUGCAAGCGUUAUCCGGAUUCACUGGGUUUAAAGGGUGCGUAGGCGGAUUUGUAAGUCCGUGGCGAAAUCUCUAAGCUUAACUUGGAAAUUGCCGUGGAUACUAUAAGUCUUGAAUAUUGUGGAGGUUAGCGGAAUAUGUCAUGUAGCGGUGAAAUGCAUAGAUAUGACAUAGAACACCAAUUGCGAAGGCAGCUGGCUACACAUAUAUUGACACUGAGGCACGAAAGCGUGGGGAUCAAACA